GUGUCAGCCGCCGCGGUAAUACGUAGGGUGCAAGCGUUAAUCGGAAUUACUGGGCGUAAAGCGUGCGCAGGCGGUUCGGAAAGAAAGAUGUGAAAUCCCAGGGCUUAACCUUGGAACUGCAUUUUUAACUACCGGGCUAGAGUGUGUCAGAGGGAGGUGGAAUUCCGCGCGUAGCUGUGAAAUGCGUAGAUAUGCGGAGGAACCCCGAUGGCGCAGGCAGCCUCCUGGGAUAAAACUGCC
RNAcentral lists this ribosomal RNA (240 nucleotides) under uncultured bacterium. RNAcentral describes it as "partial 16S rRNA". It matches the Rfam family "Bacterial small subunit ribosomal RNA", at positions 505 to 744 of the family's 1533-position model. The record is from RNAcentral.